RNAcentral lists this long non-coding RNA (3164 nucleotides) under Salmo salar (Atlantic salmon). RNAcentral's name for it is "lncRNA (ENSSSAG00000113742.1)". Lineage: Eukaryota; Metazoa; Chordata; Actinopteri; Salmoniformes; Salmonidae. The record is from RNAcentral.
GGCUCCCCCCUGCUCGCCCUGCGGCCGUGGCGCCAACGCCCUCUAGCUCUGUGGAGUAAGUAUGAUGUGGGAGACUGGCUGGAGAGUGUUGGUUUGGCAGAGCAUCGUGCCCGCUUCCAGGAGCAUGAGAUUGAGGGUUCCCACCUCCCUGCCCUCACCAAGGAUGACUUCGCUGAACUGGGCGUGACACGAGUCGGACACCGCAUGAACAUUGAGAGAGCGCUCCGACAACUGCUGGACAACUGAACCUCUAACCCCUGAUAUUACUUAAGGGCUGUCACACCUGAACCCUAACCCUCUGUGGAGGUAUUCUGGCAGCACCAGUGGCUGUAACCUGGCAACACCAGUGGCUGCAACCUGGCAACACCAGUGGCUUUAUCCUGGCAACACCAGUGGCUUCAUCCUGGCAACACCAGUGGCUUCAUCCUGGCAACACCAGUUGCUGCAACCUGGCAACACCAGUGGCAGUAACCUGGCAACACCAGUGGCUUCAUCCUGGCAACACCAGUGGCUGUAACCUGGCAACACCAGUGGCAGUAUGCUUUCAGACGUCUAUUUUCCAAAGACAGCAUCACAUGGAGUUGAGCAUUUAGUAUGAACUUUUUAUGAAUAUACAAGAAAAUACCUCCUCCAUCGAAAUAUCUACAAUAUCGACAUAUUUUCCAAUAAUGAAAUUGAUGAUAAAUGUUUAUUAGGAAUAGAUAUAUUUAAAUAAAAUGGUGUGUUUCAUGACAACUUUAUUCUGUUUAGGGAAGGAUGAGAAGUGGUGGAUGAGACUUCAUCGUUAACCUGUCCGUCUACUACAUUACCCUGUUAGUCUACUACAUUACCCUGUUAGUCUACUACAUUACCAUGUUAGUCUACUACAUUACCCUGUAAAUCUACUACAUUACCCUGUUAGUCUACUACAUUACCAUGUUAGUCUACUACAUUACCCUGCAAAUCUACUACAUUACCCUGUUAGUCUACUACAUUACCAUGUUAGUCUACUACAUUACCCUGUAAAUCUACUACAUUGCCCUGUAAGUCUACUACAUUACUAUGUUAGUCUACUCAUUACCCUGCAAAUCUACUACAUUACCCUGUUAGUCUACUACAUUACCCUGUUAGUCUACUACAUUACCCUGUAAGUCUACUACAUUACCCUGUAAAUCUACUACAUUGCUCUGUUAGUCUACCCUGUCAGUAUAUUGCAUUACCCUGUCCGUCUAUUACAUUACCCUGUUAGUCUACUACAUUACCCUGUAAAUCUACUACAUUGCUCUGUUUGUCUACCCUGUCAGUAUAUUACAUUACCCUGUCCGUCUACUACAUUACCCUGUUAGUCUACUAUAUUACCCUGUCCAUCUAUUACAUUACCCUGUUAGUCUACUACAUUACCCUGUUAGUCUACCUAUCUACCCUGUUAUUCUACUACAUUACUAUGUUAGUCUACCCUGUUAGUCUACUAUAUUACCAUGUUAGUCCACUACACUACUCUGCUCAUCCUCUACAUUACCAUGUUGCCUACCCUGUUAGUCUCCUACAUUACCCUGUUAGUCUACUACAUUGCCAUGUUAGUCUCCUACAUUACCCUCUUAGUCACCUACAUUACCCUGUUAGCAUCCUACCCUACCCUGUUAGUCUACUACAUUACCCUGUUGUCUACCCUGUUAGUCUACUACAUUAAAUCAAAUCAAAUGUAUUUAUAUAGCCCUUCUUACAUCAGCUGAUAUCUCAAAGUGCUGUACAGAAACCCAGCCUAAAACCCCAAACAGCAAGCAAUGCAGGUGUAGAAGCACGGUGGCUAGGAAAAACUCCCUAGAAAGGCCAAAACCUAGGAAGAAACCUAGAGAGGAACCAGGCUAUGAGGGGUGGCCAGUCCUCUUCUGGCUGUGCUGGGUGGAGAUUAUAACAGCACAUGGCCAAGAUGUUCAAAGGUUCAUAAAUGACCAGCAUGGUCAAAUAAUAAUAAUCAUAGUAGUUGUCGAGGGUGCAACAGGUAAUCACCUCAGGAGUAAAUGUCAGUUGGCUUUUCAUAGCCGAUCAUUCAGAGUAUCUCUACCACUCCUGCUGUCUCUAGAGAGUUGAAAACAGCAGGUCUGGGACAGGCAGAACGUCCGGUGAACAGGUCAGAGUUCCAUAGCCGCAGGCAGAACAGUUGAAACUGGAGCAUCAGCACGACCAGGUGCACUGGGGACAGCAAGGAGUCAUCAUGCCAGGUAGCCCUGAGGCAUGGUCCUAGGGCUCAGGUCCUCCGAGAGAGAGAGAAAGAAGAAAGAGAGAAAGAGAGAAUUAGAGAGAGCAUACUUAAAUUCACACAGGACACCGGAUAAGACAGGAGAAAUACUCCAGAUAUAACAUUACCAUGUUAUCUACCCUGUUAGUCUACUACAUUACCCUGUUAGUCUACUACAUUACCCUGUUAUCUACCCUGUUAGUCUACACACUACCCUGUUAUUCUACCCUGUUUGUCUACCCUGUUAGUCUACACACUACCCUGUUAGUCUACCCUGUUAGUCUUCUACACUACCCUGUUAGUCUACCCUGUUAGCCUACCCUGUUUGUUUAAUACAUUACCCUGUUGUCUAACCUGUUAGUCUACUACAUUAUCCUGUCAGUCUACACUGUUAGUCUACCCUGUUGUUAUUCUACUACAUUAUCCUGUUAGUCUACCCUGUUAGUCUACUACAUUACCCUGUUGUCUAACAUGCUAGUUUACUUCACUACCAUGUUAGUCUACUGCAUUAUCAUGUUAGUCUACUGCAUUAUCAUGUUAGUCUGCUACAUUAUCUUGUUUGUCUAUCAUAUUACCUUGUUAGUCUGCUACAUUACCAUGUGUGUAAAUCUUUGGCCUAAAUUAGUUUAUUCUGCCAGGAAGACCUCGAAUGAACCUCACUAGUAUACAUGUUUUAUAUGAAUUUUAAGCAAUGUUGACAGGAAAGUUUCCAGUAUAUGUUUUCUAAUAUCCCUAGCUACUGGUUUGUAUGGAUUUUAUACCUGUCUGUGAUGCUGUAAGGCAGAGUAAAAGGUUCAGGACAGUAUUUUUACACAGAAAACGGUGCUAUUUCACUAAAGCCAUCUGUACAGAGCAAACCUACGCCUAAACCUAACCCUAAACCUAGCACUAAAACUAAACCUAAGCUUAAACCUAGCACUAAAACUAAACCUAAGCUUAAACCUAG